AGUGAAAGGAAAUGGAUAUCGCUGCUGGAGGCAACGACUAAUUUAAGCAGAGUAGGAGAAAAACUCUUUUUUUUUUUCCUUUGUGCCAGUUCCUUUUACACGACUUCAGAACAUUCUAUGACAACCCAGCGUGCAACUUGGCACUGUCAGAAGAGUCCUGGGAAAGAAAGGAAAUGCGAUUGGAGGAUGCCGUGGCAACAUUUUGUUAAGUACCACAGUCCCAGAGAAAUCACUGGAAGCAUGUUAUCGGAGGAACAGAUGGUUGGUGUCCCUCCUGGUCUAAAGAGAGGAAAGAAGAAAGAUGAGAGGGAAAGCUAAGAAAAGGUGAGAAGAAAGGGUCAGGAGGAGAAAUGCAAAGAGACUGGGAUAAUUUUUUGGACCAUACCUUCUCUGCUGGCAGCUUACUGUGACUGCACCAUCCAAAAUUUGGUAUAAGGAUUUGGAAAUUUGACCAAUAUUUCUUAGAAGGUAAUGAAAUACCUAAUUGUUUUCCUUCCUUUUCAGCCCCAUCACCAUUUGUUCAUUCAAAAUUCAAAAGGUAAAGAUGAUGCCAUUUUAUGCUUGUAUAUAGUUUAAUUGAGAUUGCCUGAUAUCUCACAACAUAUUAGUAAUCUAAUGACUAGUAAUUCCUCUCUGGAGAUCACCCCUAAAAGUAUACCCUAGAAUGUGAACCAAAAUUUAUGUUCUAAAUUUCCUGUCAAGUAAUACUAUGUAAAGAACAAAAACAGGAGGGAUAUCUUAAAUUCCAAUGAUAGAAGACUGAUUGACUGUAUAUUAAUACUUUGAAGUAGUAGAAAUAUUAUAGUUCAAUUGAAAAUGAUAUCUGUAAGUAUUGCUAAUGAUGCCAGCAUAGAUUUACUAUGAAAUGUUUUGUGAAAAUAAUUAAGAUACAAUUGUAUUAUGGGUAGCAAACACAGGAAAAACUAGAAAGAAUACUAACAAGUAAACUGUGAUUAAAUUUCUACGGUAUGUGUUGUCAUCUUUUUAAUUCUAUUUUUCCAUAUUUUUCAAAUUUUCUGUAUGUAUGCAUAGUAAUUUUCUAUUUUGAAGAAAUAGGUGUUAUCAUUUUUUGAAGAAUAAAGGAGGCAGAGCUUUUAAUUUUAUAAUCCAUUUCUUCCUUUUAGCCUUGCUACAAGGCUGAAAAAAUGUACAAGAAAAAUUUUCCUGUUGUUUCUGCCUUAUUUUUAUUAGAGCAAGAAAAAAAUGAAAACCCAAAAGUAAAAUGAUAACAUGAAGAAAAUGAUACGUUUCUUAGGUAUUUAGCUGAAAUAGAGGUAUAGAGAAAAAUAAUUGAUGAUUUUGGGAGGGUAUUUUUCCUAUGUCAAAAGGUAGAACUUGAUGAUGUCAUAGUAACUCUUGUUUUGGAAGUGCAUAAAUAUUCAAAAUAAAAAUUUUAAAUGA
Molecule: long non-coding RNA, 1401 nt
Organism: Homo sapiens (human)
Lineage: Eukaryota; Metazoa; Chordata; Mammalia; Primates; Hominidae
Product: long intergenic non-protein coding RNA 1182
Source: Ensembl